Molecule: ribosomal RNA, 253 nt
Filed under: uncultured bacterium
Lineage: Bacteria
Description: partial 16S ribosomal RNA
Rfam family: Bacterial small subunit ribosomal RNA
Source: RNAcentral
UACAGAGGGUCCAAGCGUUGUCCGGAAUCACUGGGUGUAAAGGGUGCGUAGGCGGGCUUGUAAGUCAGAGGUGAAAGCCCACGGCUUAACCGUGGAACUGCCUUUGAUACUGCAGGCCUUGAGUCCUGGAGAGGCUGCCGGAAUUCGUGGUGUAGCGGUGAAAUGCGUAGAUAUCACGAGGAACACCGGAUGCGUAGGCGGGCAGCUGGACAGGUACUGACGCUGAGGCACGAAAGCGUGGGGAGCGAACAGG